This 403-nucleotide ribosomal RNA is filed under the name uncultured bacterium. RNAcentral's name for it is "partial 16S ribosomal RNA". It matches the Rfam family "Bacterial small subunit ribosomal RNA", at positions 29 to 526 of the family's 1533-position model. The record is from RNAcentral.
AUUGAACGCUGGCGGCAGGCCUAAUACAUGCAAGUCGAGCGAGCGGCGGAUGGGUGAGUAAUGUAUGGGGACUGCCCGAAAGAGGGGGAUAACUACUGGAAACGGUAGCUAAUACCGUAUACUAUCGGCCAACCCAUAUGGGAUUGGCUAGUAGGUGAGGUAAUGGAUCACCUAGGCCACGAUCCUUAGAUGGUCUGAGAGGAUGAUCAGCCACACUGUGACUGAGACACGGCCCAGAAUCCUACGGAGGCAGCAGUGGGGAGUAUUGGACAAUGGGCGAAAGGCUGAAGGAGACAUGCCGCGUGGAUGAAGAAGGCCCUAGGGUGGGAAAGUACUGUCAGUCGAGAGGCGUUACCGAAAGAGAAAGGCCCGGCUUACUCCGUGCCAGCAGCCGCGGUAAUAC